Molecule: long non-coding RNA, 1233 nt
Filed under: Anser cygnoides (Swan goose)
Lineage: Eukaryota; Metazoa; Chordata; Aves; Anseriformes; Anatidae
Description: lncRNA (ENSACDG00005011345.1)
Source: RNAcentral
AUGUCCCCGUCCUUCUGGCCCUGCUGUGGGGUUGGGGAGCCGGGGUUGCCACCUUGGUGGCCGUGGCUCGGCCUCCCGUCGCCCCAGGGUGCUGCUUCGGCCUCGCUGGGGCCCCUCGCCCGCCCUGCCCUGCGCCUUCCUCCCGCAAGAGGGAGAUGGGCGUGCGGGGACGGGAUGGCUGGAUGGGGCCUGCCAUGGCGUCCUUCCUCCUCCUCGUCAUCUUCCUCCUCCGCGGCCACGGCGAGCUGCUGCCUGGCCGGGUGCCCGCGGUGUCCCCGCGUGGGGCGCGUUGUGCUCCUCUCCAUCGAGUCGUGGGGUCAGCCCGGUUCCCCGUCCGUCCGUCUGUCCUUCCUCGCCUCGGGAGCCCUUCGCAGGCGGGCUGCCGGGCUGGACGCUGACCCCCUGCUCGUCCCCAGCCCCAUCCCAAAAGCUGCGGAUCCCAAACUGCCCCUCCCCGUGAGGGGUGACCCCAAGGAGGGGGCGAGGAAGGAAACCGAGGCAGGACGCCCCAGAGGAGGGCACGGCGGCCGUGUCCGCGCACCCAGCGUUAGUCAGCAGGGAGGGGACGCCCUGCCCUGCGUGGGGACGGGCGCUCGCCUGAGUCACCCGCACCGAGGGGCAGGGUGCUGGGGCCGGGCACCCCGAGUUCACUGUGGGGUGCUCCCCGUGCAUCCCCACCCUAUUGCUGGGGGCGCGUGGCCCCCGGUUGACACAGCCCGUGGCUGUGGGGCCGUGAAGCUGGGAUUGGGCUGUGAAGCUGGGAUGGGGCCCCAAGUUAUGAGGCUGCCACAAUUCAUGGGGAUCCCCAUGUUAUGGGACCCCAGGUUACGGGGAUCCCCACGUUAUGGGACCCCAGAUUACGGGGAUCCCCACGUUAUGGGACCCCAGGUUACGGGGAUCCCCACGUUAUGGGACCCCAGGUUACGGGGAUCCCCACGUUAUGGGACCCCAGGUUACGGGGAUCCCCACGUUAUGGGACCCCAGGUUAUGGGGAUCCCCACGUUAUGGGACCCCAGGUUACGGGGAUCCCCAUGUUAUGGGGCCACCCCGCAGCUCUGGGUCCCCAUGGCGGGGAUGAUGCCUCGCAGCUCGGCUGCCCCAUAUGCGCUGGAGCCCUGUACCCACGACACCCCAUGGCCAGGAUGUGCACCCUCAGGCUACCCUCCCAGCCCUCCCAGCCCCACCCUGGCGCUCUGCGACCAAAAAACUAAAAGGAAAGAGUUAAAAAAAUAA